RNAcentral lists this ribosomal RNA (489 nucleotides) under uncultured bacterium. RNAcentral describes it as "bacterial SSU rRNA". It matches the Rfam family "Bacterial small subunit ribosomal RNA", at positions 28 to 507 of the family's 1533-position model. The record is from RNAcentral.
GAUGAACGCUAGCGACAGGCUUAACACAUGCAAGUCGAGGGGCAGCAUGAUUUGUAGCAAUACAGAUUGAUGGCGACCGGCGCACGGGUGAGUAACACGUAUCCAACCUGCCGACAACACUGGGAUAGCCUUUCGAAAGAAAGAUUAAUACCGGAUGGCAUAGUUUUCCCGCAUGGGAUAAUUAUUAAAGAAUUUCGGUUGUCGAUGGGGAUGCGUUCCAUUAGGCAGUUGGCGGGGUAACGGCCCACCAAACCAACGAUGGAUAGGGGUUCUGAGAGGAAGGUCCCCCACAUUGGAACUGAGACACGGUCCAAACUCCUACGGGAGGCAGCAGUGAGGAAUAUUGGUCAAUGGACGAGAGUCUGAACCAGCCAAGUAGCGUGAAGGAUGACUGCCCUAUGGGUUGUAAACUUCUUUAUACGGGAAUAAAGUUAGCCACGUGUGGUUUUUUGUAUGUACCGUAUGAAUAAGGAUCGGGCUAACUCCGUG